RNAcentral lists this small nuclear RNA (162 nucleotides) under Dasypus novemcinctus (nine-banded armadillo). RNAcentral describes it as "U1 spliceosomal RNA (ENSDNOG00000027872.1)". It matches the Rfam family "U1 spliceosomal RNA". From Rfam's summary of the family: U1 is a small nuclear RNA (snRNA) component of the spliceosome (involved in pre-mRNA splicing). Its 5' end forms complementary base pairs with the 5' splice junction, thus defining the 5' donor site of an intron. There are significant differences in sequence and secondary structure between metazoan and yeast U1 snRNAs, the latter being much longer (568 nucleotides as compared to 164 nucleotides in human). The record is from RNAcentral. Lineage: Eukaryota; Metazoa; Chordata; Mammalia; Cingulata; Dasypodidae.
AUCCUUACUUGGCGGGGAUCUCCAUGAUCACAAAUCUGGUUUUCCUAGGGUGAGGCUCACCCAUUGCACUCUGGGUGUGCUGACCCCUGCAAUUUCCCUAAAUGCAGGAAACUUGACUGCAUAAUUUGUGGUAGUGGGGGAUAGCAUUCAUACUUUUCCGUG